UACGGAGGGUGCAAACGUUGCUCGGAAUCAUUGGGCGUAAAGCGCACGUAGGCGGUCCGGUAAGUCGGAUGUGAAAUCCCUCGGCUCAACCGAGGAAGUGCAUUCGAAACUGCCAGACUUGAAUAUGGAAGAGGGUCGCGGAACUCCGAGUGUAGAGGUGAAAUUCGUAGAUAUUCGGAAGAACACCAGUGGCGAAGGCGGCUCACUGGCCCGGUACUGACGCUGAGGUGCGAAAGCGUGGGGAGCAAACAGG
This 253-nucleotide ribosomal RNA is filed under the name uncultured bacterium. Its description in RNAcentral is "partial 16S ribosomal RNA". It matches the Rfam family "Bacterial small subunit ribosomal RNA", at positions 524 to 776 of the family's 1533-position model. The record is from RNAcentral.